Molecule: ribosomal RNA, 419 nt
Filed under: uncultured Gemmatimonas sp.
Lineage: Bacteria; Pseudomonadati; Gemmatimonadota; Gemmatimonadia; Gemmatimonadales; Gemmatimonadaceae
Description: bacterial SSU rRNA
Rfam family: Bacterial small subunit ribosomal RNA
Source: RNAcentral
UGGGGAAUCUUGCGCAAUGGCCGCAAGGCUGACGCAGCGACGCCGCGUGGGGGAGGAAGGGCUUCGGCUCGUAAACCCCUGUUGCCCGGGCGAAGCAGCAGGUUUCGACCUGCCUGACGGUACCGGGUGAGGAAGCACCGGCUAACUCCGUGCCAGCAGCCGCGGUAAUACGGAGGGUGCGAGCGUUGUCCGGAAUCACUGGGCGUAAAGGGCGCGUAGGUGGCCGAGCAAGGUCGCGGUGAAAGCCCGGGGCUCAACCCCGGGUCGGCCGUGGCAACUACUCGGCUUGAGCACUGUAGGGGCGGGUGGAAUUCCGGGUGUAGCGGUGGAAUGCGUAGAGAUCCGGAAGAACACCGGUGGCGAAGGCGGCCCGCUGGGCAGGAAGGCUCGCAAGAGCCGGCUGACACUGAGGCGCGACA